UGUCUAAGUAUAAAUGCUUCUAUACUGUGAAACUGCGAAUGGCUCAUUAAAUCAGUUAUAGUUUAUUUGAUGGUUCCUUACUACUUGGAUAACCGUAGUAAUUCUAGAGCUAAUACAUGCAGAAAGUCCCGACUUCUUGGAAGGGAUGUAUUUAUUAGAUCCAAAACCAGCGCGAGUUUCCUUCGGGGGCUCGGUUGCAUGGUGAUUCAUGAUAACUGCUCGAAUCGCAUGGCCUCGCGCCGGCGAUGAUCCAUUCAAAUUUCUGCCCUAUCAACUUUCGAUGGCAAGGUAGUGGCUUGCCAUGGUGACAACGGGUGACGGAGAAUUAGGGUUCGAUUCCGGAGAGGGAGCCUGAGAAACGGCUACCACAUCCAAGGAAGGCAGCAGGCGCGCAAAUUACCCAAUCCCGACUCGGGGAGGUAGUGACAAUAAAUAACAAUGCUGGGCUAUCGUAGUCUGGCAAUUGGAAUGAGUACAAUCUAAACCCCUUAACGAGGAACAAUUGGAGGGCAAGUCUGGUGCCAGCAGCCGCGGUAAUUCCAGCUCCAAUAGCGUAUAUUAAAGUUGUUGCAGUUAAAAAGCUCGUAGUUGGAUUUCGGGGCAGCCCGGCUGGUCCGUCGCAAGGCGAGUACUGGUCGGCCGCCCUUCCUCUCGAAAGCCCCGACUGCUCUUCACUGUAGUGGUCGGGGAGUUCGGGACGUUUACUUUGAAAAAAUUAGAGUGUUCAAGGCAGGCCAUCGCCUGAAUACAUUAGCAUGGAAUAAUGGAA
Molecule: ribosomal RNA, 769 nt
Filed under: Agelas sventres
Lineage: Eukaryota; Metazoa; Porifera; Demospongiae; Agelasida; Agelasidae
Description: SSU rRNA
Rfam family: Eukaryotic small subunit ribosomal RNA
Source: RNAcentral